GAGCCAGGGACUGGUAACAGCAUCUGUCACCAGCCUCAGACACAUGAGAUGGGAUGAGCCAGGGCUAGGUCGAUCCAGGGGCAGCAGGAUAUGAGACAGGAGAUGAGGCUGAAGUUGUGACUGGAGAGAAGACAACAAUGUGAACCUGAGGUCCACCUGGGAAGCUCUGUCAGAGAACCCAGGCAGGGGAAGUCAGGGUGGGGGUCCCAGUUGGGUCUGGUCAGGAUUUUAAGAACUAUUAGCAAUGACAGUGCCCUGACAGUACUCACAGUGGACAUAGUGAUCAGUUAGAUUCUUCUUUUUUGUGGAAGAUGCAUCUGCUGUUUUUAGCCUUUUCUUUUAAAUUAUACUUCUACACUCAUGGAAUGAAAAAAAGCGAAUUGUGAAAAUGUACUUUAAAAAGAAAGCAUUACUGAACAAUUUGACUCUUCAGUAAAACAGGACAACAAGCCACAUGCCCUACAAGUGGCUGAGGUUUCAGAUUUUCCUCAUGCAGCCAAAACCCACACUUGGCAAUACCCCAGUCUUCCAACUGGACUAUCAACUGGCAUAUUAAAAGUUCUUCCACAGCAUUGUCAAGACCUUAAUCUGCUGUCAUUUGUAGUGUUGGGGAAGAUGAAAAUUGACAUCCACAUACCAGAUGAAACUGCUCAGCAGAAGAGCCAGAAUUCUUUGGCUGUGAACUAAGAGGACCAUCUAGGACAUGAUUACACUCUGGAGGAUAUUCCAGUCAUGCAUACCACACUGUUAAUUUCUAACAUGCAGCAUCUCUUGUAAGACCCGACCCAAAUCCAUCUGAAACCCGGACUGUGUGUUCCUGAUUGACAUCCAUAACAUAGUCUGUUCUUCUUCUAGUUCCAUGGUUGUUCAAUCAUGGACUAAUACUGGGAUUCUGAAAGAAGCAAACAAGACUGAACACAGGUUACUGCCAGAGCCCCAUUUCUCUGCACAUCCACCCAGAGAUGCCGUCUGCUGAAAGAUAAGAAAAAACUGAAUGUAAAAAAUUUAGGAAUACUGAUGAGGAAAAAUCAUAUGAAAAUUGUAGUUAUGAUGUAAUGGUUUUAUCUUUAAUAUUAUUUAACUGUCUUAACCUUUAGCAGAAAAGUUCUGGUUUACUGUUAUUUUGUCUUUGCAUUUUCAGAUUUUCAUACAUUUCUGCUCAGAUGAGAAUUACAAAUAGCUAGCCUGGAAGGAAAUGAAAGAGGGCAUAGCUCAAGUUCAAAACUAGAAAGCAAACCUUAAAAACAUUUAUCAAGCACGAUUGUCCCAUAUUAUCAGGACACAUUAUUUUAUUUUUACUCUGGAGACCUAAUGAUUGUGCAGCUGCAAGGUGACAGAACACAAACCCUCAAAACAUACAGGUAGGCAAAGGGAGGCAGAGCACUGGGUCCCUGGAGCUGGGGAUAGGGCCCUGCUGGCUGGGAGGGCAGGGCAGGAUUAGGAUCAGGGCAGGAUCAGGACUUGCUUUCAGCAGCACUCUGCAGUUGCACCAGAUGAGGUGCAACACGAUACGGCAGAUUUUAGGGCUGCUAAAAACGUCGUGCAAACACCACUUUGUUUUUUUAUUUGUUUUGUUUCCAAAACUGAAGUUAGGUCACAUCCUGGCUUCUGAUCUGUAAUAUUAGAUUCGUGCACUUUCCUGGAGUUGACUGGGUUCACAGCUGCUUAGUUUUAUGCUGCUCCAGAGCAGGUGGCCUGAGAGAGUUAGACCAAUAAAAGAUGUGUAAGUAAACUUGUGUUUACUUUUUUUAAUUUCUCCUCAUGAGCAUUAUAGUCACAUGGCUGUUCUCUAUGACUCUGCAAACUAUGGUACUCAAGGGAUGCAGUCAUUGCAAAUAAUGAAAAUGAUAUACUGUUAAUCCACUGGCUUCUAAAAAAAAAGUCUUUAUAGUGCUUAUGGAACAGAAUAGAGACUUAUUUGGAUAAUGUCUACUGUAUUAAACACAUUCUUACAUGCAUGGUACAUUUAUCUUUAGAGUCAGAUCCUCUCUCACUGAGAAUAUCUGCUGAAGACACAAAUACGGAAUGAUGAC
Molecule: long non-coding RNA, 2033 nt
Organism: Calypte anna (Anna's hummingbird)
Lineage: Eukaryota; Metazoa; Chordata; Aves; Apodiformes; Trochilidae
Exons: 6
Source: RefSeq, a predicted model, not a curated record